RNAcentral lists this transfer RNA (61 nucleotides) under Urocitellus parryii (Arctic ground squirrel). RNAcentral's name for it is "Spermophilus parryii (Arctic ground squirrel) tRNA". It matches the Rfam family "tRNA", at positions 6 to 65 of the family's 71-position model. From Rfam's summary of the family: Transfer RNA (tRNA) molecules are approximately 80 nucleotides in length. Their secondary structure includes four short double-helical elements and three loops (D, anti-codon, and T loops). RNAcentral also lists the same sequence under 2 other names. Lineage: Eukaryota; Metazoa; Chordata; Mammalia; Rodentia; Sciuridae. The record is from Rfam by way of RNAcentral.
UGUGGCUCAGUGGUAGAGCACUUGCCUAGCAGGUGAGAGGCACUGGGUUCGAUUCUCAGCA